GAGCGGACGGAUGGGAGCUUGCUCCCAGACCACUGGCGGCGGACGGGUGAGUAACACGUGGGCAACCUGCCUGUAAGACUGGGAUAACUCCGGGAAACCGGGGCUAAUACCGGAUAAUUCUUGGCCUCACAUGAGGGAAAGCUGAAAGAUGGUUUCGGCUAUCACUUACAGAUGGGCCCGCGGCGCAUUAGCUAGUUGGUGAGGUAACGGCUCACCAAGGCAACGAUGCGUAGCCGACCUGAGAGGGUGAUCGAUCACACUGGGACUGAGACACGGCCCAGACUCCUACGGGAGGCAGCAGUAGGGAAUCUUCCGCAAUGGACGAAAGUCUGACGGAGCAACGCCGCGUGAGUGAUGAAGGCCUUCGGAUCGUAAAACUCUGUUGUUAGGGAAGAACAAGUACCGGAGUAACUGCCGGUACCUUGACGGUACCUAACCAGAAAGCCACGGCUAACUACGUGCCAGCAGCCGCGGUAAUACGUAGGUGGCAAGCGUUGUCCGGAAUUAUUGGGCGUAAAGCGCGCGCAGGCGGUUCCUUAAGUCUGAUGUGAAACCCUUUGGGUCAACCGGGGAGGGUCAUUGGAAACUGGGGAACUUGAGUGCAGAAGAGAAGAGUGGAAUUCCUGCAGUAG
RNAcentral lists this ribosomal RNA (632 nucleotides) under Cytobacillus firmus. RNAcentral describes it as "bacterial SSU rRNA". It matches the Rfam family "Bacterial small subunit ribosomal RNA", at positions 64 to 678 of the family's 1533-position model. The record is from RNAcentral. Lineage: Bacteria; Bacillati; Bacillota; Bacilli; Caryophanales; Bacillaceae.